This 253-nucleotide ribosomal RNA is filed under the name uncultured bacterium. RNAcentral's name for it is "partial 16S ribosomal RNA". It matches the Rfam family "Bacterial small subunit ribosomal RNA", at positions 524 to 776 of the family's 1533-position model. The record is from RNAcentral.
UACGUAGGGUGCGAGCGUUAAUCGGAAUUACUGGGCGUAAAGCGUGCGCAGGCGGUUCGUUAAGUCAGCUGUGAAAGCCCCGGGCUUAACCUGGGAAUGGCGGUUGAAACUGGCGAACUUGAAUCUGGCAGAGGGGGGUGGAAUUCCGCGUGUAGCAGUGAAAUGCGUAGAUAUGCGGAGGAACACCGAUGGCGAAGGCAAUCCCCUGGGCCUGCACUGACGCUCAUGCACGAAAGCGUGGGGAGCAAACAGG